Molecule: non-coding RNA, 721 nt
Organism: Nicotiana tabacum (common tobacco)
Lineage: Eukaryota; Viridiplantae; Streptophyta; Magnoliopsida; Solanales; Solanaceae
Source: RefSeq, a predicted model, not a curated record
UAAAAAAAAAAUGGAAAAAGGCUUAAAAGCCCAUAAAAAGGGUUGUUUGAAACAAUAGCCUCCAAGCCUUAAAAGAGAGGCAGAACGUUAUCAAAAAGGACGGAAAGCAAAAGCUAAAAAAAAAAAACAGAAUCGUUCCUCACGAAACAGAGGCUCCAUUUAUCACACAGGCAACGAAAGAUUCUAGGGUUCUUUACAAAUCACUAAUUCUUAAAUUCAGGUAUAUAAAAUUCCCUAUUUUCAAUUAUCCUAAAGUAGUAAUACGUAAGAAUUGAAUAGCUAAUUCCCUUCUUCCUCUAUAUCAACAAUAAAUUUCAUAUUUAGGUGUAGUACUUUAAAAUUAAUUAAAAUAUAUUGGUUGUUGUAGAAUCGAUUGGUUGACUGGUAUCAAUUUGACUGGGGCUACGUAUUGGCUCGAGAAGUUUUGAGGAACCGGAUUUGCAGGCGAGCAGGCUACGAGUUAGGACUUCCUUCCCUUCCAGUGAUAUUGGUGAGCUCCGCUUUUGUUCGUGGAGUAUUCUUAGAGUCAUUUUCAUUUAGCUAUUUCUUAGUUUAUUUAGAGAACUAGCCAGAAAAUAUCAUGUCCUGAGCAGUGCGUCAGUUUGUCAGUAGAAGCUUCAUAGACAUAGUCAUUGGGUUGAGAUUCAGAUGUUAUUUUAUAAUAACUUAGCAGUAAUUCAGUAGUUACUACGAAUAAAGCUUUGGAGUUGAUUUAUUUAAA